This is a microRNA precursor of Xenopus tropicalis (tropical clawed frog), 90 nucleotides long. Ensembl annotates it as xtr-mir-146a. Its record names the gene xtr-mir-146a. The record is from Ensembl. Lineage: Eukaryota; Metazoa; Chordata; Amphibia; Anura; Pipidae.
CAAUGAGUUCUUAGCUUUGAGAACUGAAUUCCAUAGGUUGUUAGAGGUUAGACCUAUGGUGCUUAGUUCCAUAGCUUGGAUCCCACUGGC